CCCUGCUGGGUCAGACUGAGGCUCAACUGCUGCUGAAUCUGUACCUUUGCCUAUUUCUACCCCAUCUCAUCCUGAGAGCACCCUCCCACUCAAUCACAGGCUGGCAGCAGACAAACGAUGCAGGCAGGCAGUGAGACUCAGAUUGGGUCCUCCUGUCGGAACAGCUGGGAUAUGAUGUCCAUGCCCUCUCCCAGGACCCAGGUGGAACUUGAAUACUGAUUCAUCAUACUCACUUUUCAUUUGGAGAGUGAAUUUUGGACUGAAAUAAAGGGAGAUGUUCAGCCUCAGGUGUAGAAGCAGUGAGACAAUUUCCCACCACGGAGGAAGAUGAAGAGCAGGAGAGGAGAGGCUGGCGGCUCCCAGGAGCAGAUCACCUGCCCCCACUGCAAGGCCCCCGUGUGCUCAAUAAACUGACCCUUGCGCAGAG
RNAcentral lists this long non-coding RNA (427 nucleotides) under Homo sapiens (human). Its description in RNAcentral is "HSALNT0340585". Lineage: Eukaryota; Metazoa; Chordata; Mammalia; Primates; Hominidae. The record is from RNAcentral.